GAAUGUGAGGGCGAUCUGGCUGCGACAUCUGUCACCCCAUUGAUCACCAGGGUUGAUUUGGCUGAUCUGGCUGGCUAGGGGGGUGUCCCCUCCCUCCCUCACCGCUCCAUGUGUGUCCCUCCCGACACUGUGCACUUGGUGGAAGAGGACGACUUCCCUGGUAUAGAAGGAGUGUACCGAGGUCUCCAGUAUUUGGUCCCGGGUAUACGAUGUUGGAGUAUGGUUGUAUUUGUAUGAAAUGUAAAUCAAGUGUUUACUGCUGAUGAGCAAGAGUGUGUAUUUUU
RNAcentral lists this small nuclear RNA (284 nucleotides) under Anolis carolinensis (green anole). Its description in RNAcentral is "7SK RNA". It matches the Rfam family "7SK RNA". Rfam says of the family: 7SK was discovered as an abundant small nuclear RNA in the mid-70s but a possible function has only recently been suggested. Two independent studies have found that 7SK RNA binds the CDK9/cyclin T complex (known as elongation factor P-TEFb). The record is from Rfam by way of RNAcentral. Lineage: Eukaryota; Metazoa; Chordata; Lepidosauria; Squamata; Anolidae.